Molecule: ribosomal RNA, 493 nt
Filed under: uncultured bacterium
Lineage: Bacteria
Description: bacterial SSU rRNA
Rfam family: Bacterial small subunit ribosomal RNA
Source: RNAcentral
UCAGGAUGAACGCUGGCGGCGUGCCUAACACAUGCAAGUCGAACGGAGUAAUUAAGCGGAAGUUUCGGAUGGAAGCAUAGUACUUAGUGGCGGACGGGUGAGUAACGCGUGGGCAACCUGCCCUGUACCGGGGGAUAACACUUAGAAAUAGGUGCUAAUACCGCAUAAGCGCACAGCUUCGCAUGAAGGUGUGUGAAAAAACUCCGGUGGUACAGGAUGGACCCGCGUCUGAUUAGCUAGUUGGUGGGGUAGAGGCCUACCAAGGCGACGAUCAGUAGCCGGCCUGAGAGGGUGACCGGCCACAUUGGGACUGAGACACGGCCCAAACUCCUACGGGAGGCAGCAGUGGGGAAUAUUGCACAAUGGGGGAAACCCUGAUGCAAGCGACGCCGCGUGAGUGAAGAAGUAUUUCGGUAUGUAAAGCUCUAUCAGCAGGGAAGAAAAUGACGGUACCUGACUAAGAAGCCCCGGCUAACUACGUGCCAGCAGCGGC